Molecule: ribosomal RNA, 394 nt
Filed under: uncultured bacterium
Lineage: Bacteria
Description: partial 16S ribosomal RNA
Rfam family: Bacterial small subunit ribosomal RNA
Source: RNAcentral
UUGGACAAUGGGCGCAAGCCUGAUCCAGCCAUGCCGCGUGAGUGAUGACGGCCUUAGGNUUGUAANGNUCUUUCAGUGGGGAAGANCAUGACGGUACACCCAGCAGAAGCCCCGGCUACCUUCGUGCCAGCAGCCGCGGUAAUACGAAGGGGGCUAGCGUUGUUCGGAUUUACUGGGCGUAAAGCGCGCGUAGGCGGUUUGUUAAGUCAGGGGUGAAAUCCCGGAGCUCAACUACGGAACUGCCUUUGAUACUGGCAAGCUAGAGUCCGGAAGAGGUGAGUGGAACUCCUAGUGUAGAGGUUGAAUUCGUAGAUAUUAGGAAGAACACCAGUGGCGAAGGCGGCUCACUGGUCCGGUACUGACGCUGAGGUGCGAAAGCGUGGGGAGCAAACAG